RNAcentral lists this unclassified non-coding RNA (289 nucleotides) under plant metagenome. RNAcentral's name for it is "partial contains small subunit ribosomal RNA, internal transcribed spacer 1, and 5.8S ribosomal RNA". The stretch from base 241 to 289 matches the Rfam family "5.8S ribosomal RNA", at positions 1 to 49 of the family's 154-position model. The record is from RNAcentral.
UUUCCGUAGGUGAACCUGCGGAAGGAUCAUUAAUGAGUUGUCAUGGGGUUCGAUGCUGGCAGCCAAUUUUUGGAUGCAUGUGCUUGCCCUAACAAUCAUCUUCCAAACACCUGUGCACAUUUUUGAGGGAGUCUUGAGUUGGUUGCCGCUCUUGGGUGAUUUUCUCACAUUCCCUUAAAUCAUUAUACGCUAUUAACAAUGUUGAACGUGCUCUGUGCCGCAAGGCUAUUAAUAUAAUACAACUUUUAACAACGGAUCUCUUGGCUCUCGCAUCGAUGAAGAACGCGGC